This 1710-nucleotide small RNA is filed under the name Vigna angularis var. angularis. RNAcentral's name for it is "Non-protein coding transcript". The record is from RNAcentral. Lineage: Eukaryota; Viridiplantae; Streptophyta; Magnoliopsida; Fabales; Fabaceae.
GUUUGGUAGAACACUCACUCGAGGUGUGUUCUCUCAAAUCUCUCUCAAGCCCUAACUCUACACUCUCAGAUCCCUCUGCAACCCUAACUUUAACUCUCCACUCUCCUUCUCUAUUUUCACUUUCAUAUACAGAACCACUUCCGAAUCUUAGAGUUUCAUCCUCCUCUUCACUUUUCCUUCAUUUUUAACCGAUUAAAACCACUUUUCUACUAAUUAAAACCCUUUCUGCCGUUUGUUCUUCGAUUUCCACCAAUUAAACCUCCAUUUGCGCCGUUUCAACACUUUUGUACCGAUCAAUCUUGUGUUUGAACCGAUUAAUCGGUUCAUUUUAAGUUUCUCCCCAUUUUUAGGGUUCCUUCGGUCCAGAUUAGGGUACUUCCUCCAUUUUGGAGUUUUCCCCCAAUCCUUCUGGCUUCUAUUCAUUUGUUUAGGGUUUUUUAACAUUUUCUUCCAAUCAUUCUCCGUUUCGCGCUCGAUCUCGAGUCCGUCUAAUUAUUUCGCUGUGUUUGCUCAUCAAGGAAGCUUCGAAGGAGUUCGAGUCGAGUCUGCGUCGCUCUUUUGGUCAUCUCCUCGGAGGCUCUUCCGUCAAGUGGCCGCAAAAUCAAUCACACCCGACGGCGUUUCGGCGCUACUACUCUUUUGAAACCCAAAGAAGAGGCUGGAUUGAAGACUGAAGGUGCUGUUGGGAUUGUUUUUGAACCAAAACCAGGAAGUGGUGACAAAAUCUGCUGCGGAGAUUCUAAACGAUCAACAUAGAAAUUUUUUAGAUCAUGAAAGUUGCUUUCAUGAAGAGGCAACAAUUAUCAGCGGAGCAUUAGAUCUCACGGAGAAGAUAGCUACUGUUGGCUUGGAGAAAGGCAUUAUGAUAGUUCUAUCUCUUGCCAUCUAUAUGUUACAAAGAAUUUGACAGUUGUCAUUUCUUUAAAGACUACCUACAUCAGAAUAUAUGAAUGGCGUGAAAUUUGCUCCUGAUAUACCUAGAAAAGUGAAUAUACUGUGCCAAUGAGACAAUUUAUGCCCCUAAAUGUAUGAUAUUUUGGCUGUGUUUAAAGCUGUAGAUCAUGAGUGCCCAAGUUAGGAGAGCAUGUUUUUCUGGCAAAGAAGUAACUAUCAUAUGAUUUUUCGAAUUUUAAAUCUAAAUUUGUAUGUAUGGUCAUUGCUUCAUCAUCCAUGCCAGUUCCUUUGCUUAGCAACUGGACAUGUUCUGAAGAGCUUUAGCUGGGUUCUCUUUAUUGUUUUACGGUAACAAUCCCAGUAAUAGUAGUCUAUGGAUGUUAUAAUUUACCCACUCUUUCAGACAAUCCUCUGUUUCAGUUUCAAGAUAAAUCCUAACCGAGAUAUAUCUAUUAUAUUGGCUUGAUUUUAUAAUAGAAAACAUUUCUACAUCAUUAUGCAGACUGCUGAGGAGGCCAUGACACCAAUUGAAUCUACAUUUUCCUUGGAUGUGGCUUCCAAAUUGGACUGGUCAUUUCAUUGGAUUUAACACUAGCUAUUAAAUUAUUCAUUAAUACAAGAGUUGAAGAUUCUCGAUUUGGGGUUUAGAGCCACCACUUUGAUGAUAAAUGGCUAGUUGGUGGAGCUUCAAAUAUUGGUGGAGCAAUUCCUAGACAGUUUUUCACCGAUAGGCAAUUGUAUAAGUAGUUUAGUUUACUACUAUGUAAAGGACAAUCAGUUAUUAUUUGAUAAUUUGAUACUAUUUUCUGUAAUUUG